CAGUCGCCGCGGUAAUACGAAGGGGGCUAGCGUUGUUCGGAUUUACUGGGCGUAAAGCGCACGUAGGCGGAUCGAUCAGUCAGGGGUGAAAUCCUGGAGCUCAACUCCAGAACUGCCUUUGAUACUGUCGAUCCCGAGUCCGGAAGAGGUGAGUGGAACUCCUAGUGUAGAGGUGGAAUUCGUAGAUAUUAGGAAGAACACCAGUGGCGAAGGCGGCUCACUGGUCCGGUACUGACGCUGAGGUGCGAAAGCGUGGGGAGCAAACAGGAUUAGAUACCCGCGUAGUCCCUGUCUCUUAUAC
Molecule: ribosomal RNA, 301 nt
Filed under: uncultured bacterium
Lineage: Bacteria
Description: partial 16S ribosomal RNA
Rfam family: Bacterial small subunit ribosomal RNA
Source: RNAcentral